Molecule: ribosomal RNA, 469 nt
Filed under: uncultured bacterium
Lineage: Bacteria
Description: bacterial SSU rRNA
Rfam family: Bacterial small subunit ribosomal RNA
Source: RNAcentral
CGCUGGCGGCGUGCCUAACACAUGCAAGUCGAGCGAAGAUUAUAGCAAUGUAAUCUUAGCGGCGGACGGGUGAGUAACGCGUGGGCAACCUACCUCAAACUGGGGGAUAACACAGGGAAACUUGUGCUAAUACCGCAUAACAUCAUGAAAUGACAUCAUUUUAUGAUCAAAGGAGCAAUCCGGUGAGAGAUGGGCCCGCGUCCAAUUAGCUAGUUGGUGGUGUAACGGACCACCAAGGCGACGAUUGGUAGCCGAACUGAGAGGUUGAUCGGCCACAUUGGGACUGAGACACGGCCCAGACUCCUACGGGAGGCAGCAGUGGGGAAUAUUGCGCAAUGGGGGAAACCCUGACGCCAGCAACGCCGCGUGAAGGAUGAAGGUUUUCGGAUCGUAAACUUCUUUGAUGAGGGACGAAAGCAAUGACGGUACCUCAAAAACAAGCCACGGCUAACUACGUGCCAGCCGCUGC